GCGCAUCACUCACGUCACCUUAGUCUAUCAACCGCGCCUGCGUGAGAAUGACAAUCGUGUAAGCUGAAUCGGCAGAGUGUGAGCUGCACCGGUCAACCGCGAGAACCGAACCGGACCGGCGAACCGCGACCGUGAACGGCUCGUAUGAAUUGGCCUUUAGCCGUGAGAAUGGUGGGGGCCGGAAAAUACCACUCCCUGGAAAUACUGGACUAUACAACGCCAUCCGAAAGACAUCUCAAUAUCAAUCAACACUCAAUAUGGUCUCCCUGAAAAAUGUUACUGUGUUCCUCCUCUCGUGCAUUAUUGCACUUUCGCAGAUGGCCGGUUCUCACGCCUCUUUAAUAAUAAGAAUGGAUAGACUAAUACCAACAGGACCGGAUCCACUUCACAAUUAGAAAGAGAAUGAAGGACACCUUCCGCGUAAGACCUUUGACAAUUUGUGUAAUCUUAAAAUGUUGAGCUGCAAUGAGACAACCAAUAAAUACAUUUAAAACUAUUAUUGUUCAUUGUGUUUUUCAAGUUCAUGAUUUUUUUUACAUUUUAUUGUCGACUAUGCGUAUUAUUGUUAUUUACCAGAGGUUAACGAAUUCUUAUUAGGGAUGUGUUUUCCAUAUGUUAAUAGUUUCAUAUGUUUUUCGAGUGAUUAAUAAACAUCAAGAAAAUAGA
Molecule: long non-coding RNA, 666 nt
Organism: Belonocnema kinseyi
Lineage: Eukaryota; Metazoa; Arthropoda; Insecta; Hymenoptera; Cynipidae
Exons: 2
Source: RefSeq, a predicted model, not a curated record